UAUGUGAAUUGCAGAAUUCAGUGAAUCAUCGAAUCUUUGAACGCACAUUGCGCCCUCUGGCAUUCCUCAGGGCAUGCCUGUUCGAGCGUCAAUAGAAACCCCCCCUCACCCUCCCGGUGGUACUGGGGGAGGUGGGU
RNAcentral lists this unclassified non-coding RNA (137 nucleotides) under Tuber tomentosum. RNAcentral describes it as "Tuber sp. 2 KA-2010 partial contains ITS1, 5.8S rRNA, ITS2 and 28S rRNA". The stretch from base 1 to 91 matches the Rfam family "5.8S ribosomal RNA", at positions 64 to 154 of the family's 154-position model. Rfam says of the family: 5.8S ribosomal RNA (5.8S rRNA) is a component of the large subunit of the eukaryotic ribosome. It is transcribed by RNA polymerase I as part of the 45S precursor that also contains 18S and 28S rRNA. Functionally, it is thought that 5.8S rRNA may be involved in ribosome translocation. The record is from RNAcentral. Lineage: Eukaryota; Fungi; Ascomycota; Pezizomycetes; Pezizales; Tuberaceae.